GAUGAACGCUGGCGGCGUGCCUAAUACAUGCAAGUCGAGCGAACGGACGAGAAGCUUGCUUCUCUGAUGUUAGCGGCGGACGGGUGAGUAACACGUGGAUAACCUACCUAUAAGACUGGGAUAACUUCGGGAAACCGGAGCUAAUACCGGAUAAUAUUUUGAACCGCAUGGUUCAAAAGUGAAAGACGGUCUUGCUGUCACUUAUAGAUGGAUCCGCGCUGCAUUAGCUAGUUGGUAAGGUAACGGCUUACCAAGGCAACGAUGCAUAGCCGACCUGAGAGGGUGAUGGGCCACACUGGAACUGAGACACGGUCCAGACUCCUACGGGAGGCAGCAGUAGGGAAUAUUCCGCAAUGGGCGAAAGACUGACGGAGCAACGCCGCGUGAGUGAUGAAGGUCUUCGGAUCGUAAAACUCUGUUAUUAGGGAAGAACAUAUGUGUAAGUAACUGUGCACAUCUUGACGGUACCUAAUCAGAAAGCCACGGCUAACUACGUG
This 497-nucleotide ribosomal RNA is filed under the name uncultured bacterium. RNAcentral describes it as "partial 16S ribosomal RNA". It matches the Rfam family "Bacterial small subunit ribosomal RNA", at positions 28 to 507 of the family's 1533-position model. The record is from RNAcentral.